Molecule: ribosomal RNA, 165 nt
Filed under: Fusarium verticillioides
Lineage: Eukaryota; Fungi; Ascomycota; Sordariomycetes; Hypocreales; Nectriaceae
Description: 5.8S ribosomal RNA
Source: RNAcentral
GCGUCAUUUCAACCCUCAAGCCCCCGGGUUUGGUGUUGGGGAUCGGCGAGCCCUUGCGGCAAGCCGGCCCCGAAAUCUAGUGGCGGUCUCGCUACAGCUUCCAUUGCGUAGUAGUAAAACCCUCGCAACUGGUACGCGGCGCGGCCAAGCCGUUAAACCCCCAAC